UGCGCAGGCGGUCGGUUAAGUCCGGUGUGAAAUCUCACAGCCUAACUGUGAGCGGUCAUUGGAAACUAAUCGGCUCGAGGACUGGAGAGGAGACUGGAAUAGUCGGUGUAGCGGUGAAAUGCGUAGAGAUCGACUAGAACACCGGUGGCGAAGGCGGGUCUCUGGACAGUUCCUGACGCUCAUGCACGAAAGCCAGGGGAGCAAACG
This 207-nucleotide ribosomal RNA is filed under the name uncultured bacterium. RNAcentral describes it as "partial 16S ribosomal RNA". It matches the Rfam family "Bacterial small subunit ribosomal RNA", at positions 568 to 774 of the family's 1533-position model. The record is from RNAcentral.